GUGGUGGCUCAGUGGUAGAGUGCUUGCUUUGCAUGCAUGAGGCCCUGGGUUCAAUUCCUCAGCACCACA
This 69-nucleotide transfer RNA is filed under the name Dipodomys ordii (Ord's kangaroo rat). It matches the Rfam family "tRNA". Rfam says of the family: Transfer RNA (tRNA) molecules are approximately 80 nucleotides in length. Their secondary structure includes four short double-helical elements and three loops (D, anti-codon, and T loops). Lineage: Eukaryota; Metazoa; Chordata; Mammalia; Rodentia; Heteromyidae. The record is from Rfam by way of RNAcentral.